Molecule: long non-coding RNA, 1840 nt
Organism: Phasianus colchicus (ring-necked pheasant)
Lineage: Eukaryota; Metazoa; Chordata; Aves; Galliformes; Phasianidae
Source: RefSeq, a predicted model, not a curated record
UCCUAGUCCUAGCCAAGGAGUUUUCUCUAGAGCCCUUCUCAUUGUGUGCUCUACAUUUCCCCCUCCUCCUCCCUGUGUUAGCUGGAGUCCAUCUGCUCCAUCCAGUCCACUGCAGCUCAGGGAAUCUCACGUCAUUUCCAUCUCAGCUGAGAUGUGCCUGAGCUGCAGACAGUUGGAUGGAGAUGCCUCUGUUUGUUUCCCAGUGUGGGAGGAGGGGAUGAAUCUUCUCAACUUUGCCCUAGUUUCUUUAAAAAAAAAUGGCUGACAGUGAGAGGUGACUGUGGCAGUGGACCUGGUGAUGGCUAUCUUGGCCAGAUGCCCCUCACCCUGCUCUGCUGUGCAGCCUUGUAGGGCUCUGACCCUGCUUCCCACGGCAAUAGGUUAUUGUGUCAGAUCUGGGUAGCUGUGACAUCACUGCUGCUAUGGUUCCAUCACCAAAGGGCAGUCACAGUCAAGACAGCUCUCCAUCCCUGCCAGGAUGGCGCAGGCAGGGCAACCUCUUUGCUGUCUUUACUGCCAGCAUUGCUUAGGGUGUGAUGAGACAGAUAGACAGGCAGCCUCCAAGGAGAAGGAAGAGUUUCUGAAGCUCCUGUUACUCUGUCAAUUGAGCAUAAAGAAACAUUAUGGCAUCUGAACCAUGCCUCAUCACCUGCACACAGAACCUCAGAGCUGAGCAAAGAUGGCCAGUAGCUCUCAGUCAACAGGAGUCAGGAGCAAGAGAGCAGAAACAAUUUGAAUAAAUGGAAAAUCAAGAGGAGGAUGAAACUCACAAUUUAUAUUGUGACAGUAUUUCUUUCAUCAAAGCAAAGAAAAUGUUGAUCUAUAGCAGCUGUGCUAGGUUCAGGAAUACAGUGUCCAUUGUGAAGUCUUUCUGAAUGAUUAUUACCCAAAAUCAGAGCACUUUGCUUCCCCACCCAUGUUUCUGCAUGGAAAAGAUGCAUCAUUAAUGAUUACCUAUUUUGUCUUUUCAGGUGACCUUUCUCCAAAAGCCAUUAUUUUCAUCACUUUCAUGUGAAAUCCAUCAAAAUUCUCCUGUCUUGCUAAUUCCUGUGAGGCCUCCUUAGGUCUCACAGCUGGAUGGCUAAAGCAUCAACCUGUUCCUUGACCUUAGCAUCCAUUUUACUUUUAAAACUUCCUGCGCACAAGCAAGCAGUUCUUCAGACUGGCAAACCAGGCAGAAAAGCUAGCUUUUAAGGAACUUCACAACACUUGCCAUGUGUUUCGUUUCCAUCAAAUAUCACCAGACUUGUCCAGCUGCUGUCUCCUGGGUUAAUGGCCAGUACCUUCCCCCUUCAGGUGUCUCACUUAGCUUUUCCCUGAGAAAACAGGGCAGCCAACAGACCUGCUGGGAUCUGAAUCCUGAACUACUUUGGACGUUGAUCUUUCCAACACUGCAUGAAUUUUUAAAAAUAGUUACUGAAAGUUCAACUAAAGAUUUAUUAUUUUUUUAAUUAGUUAGACCUUAGGAAGAAAAAAGGAGAGACUCUGACAGAUCCUUGGUCCCAGAGCUGCUUAUCAGCAUGUACAGUAAACAGGGAAAAUAUCAUAAAUAUUACAUUUUCUCUCAAGAUAAGGGAUUUCAGAAUGAAGGAUUGCUUCCCAACAGCAAACUUCAGGGCAAUGUCAUGGAAAUGGGUCACAGAUUGCUGGAAUGCAAAAUCCAUGCGGGUCUUCCCAGAAGCAACAGUCUCUCCUGUUCCACACAGCUCUCCUCUGCCUCCCUGGUGGUUCCACUUCUAUGGUUGUGAUCAGUGUGGACAGUCAAGGAUGCAGCCUGGAGAGCUCUGCAUCAGCACCUGCAGCAGUGACUUUUUGGAAAGGAGUGGAGCUCCAUUUUUCU